Molecule: long non-coding RNA, 1062 nt
Organism: Myxocyprinus asiaticus (Chinese sucker)
Lineage: Eukaryota; Metazoa; Chordata; Actinopteri; Cypriniformes; Catostomidae
Exons: 3
Source: RefSeq, a predicted model, not a curated record
AACGUGACUCAGCCCCUUAUACGCUCUCUCAGCCAAAAUGUAGUCAAAUAAACCGAGGAUUUCGUCUCUGCUUCAGCACCACUUAUCAAGAACAACCAUAACAACAAACAAUUGUGUGAGGGAUUCACAUCGAUCUCAAACCCUUCCCACACAGGAACAACCAACAACAACAAACAACUGCGUUGUUUCCAUGUCUCAACCUCGGGACUCCUAUCCCGAGGUCACCAGAACCAGCUGGAUCCAGCUCCAUUCCUGCUUGGUAUCGGACUCCACUGCUACGCGUCUCCGAGUGAUGACGACAAAAUGCAGCUGGUGCCAGCCAGACAUCACUUCAGUCUAUUAUGAUGGACAUGGGAUACUUCAUAUGCCAUUGCCUGAACCUUGGACUUAGGAAAGACCUCACCAAAAUUACCUGCUGGUUGAACUGCGAUGCACCUCACUGAUCUCUGCCUGCAUUACCUUGGUCUAUUGAUGGACUACACUCUUAUAAUGGAAUACAUAGACUAUCAAUAAAUUGCCAACAAAAGCCUUCAUCAGUCAACUAACAAGGACAAUACAUCUAUGUGAACUUCUGCAGUUAUUCCAGGAUUAACUUCGAAGACAUAAUUCAUUAAUAUUACAGUUCUUACAAAAUCUUUGUUUAAACACUGGCCCUAAACACUUACUUCGUUUAAUAAUUUUAAACCAUGACUUGCACUGCACACAAAUAACUAAUAUUGGCAUUAUAUUCAUGCUGUUAGCCAGAGGGGAAUUGGCCCCCACAGUGAGCCUGGUUUCUCCCAAGGUUAUUUCUCUCCAUUAACCAACAUCUUAUGAAGUUUUGUGUUCCAUGCCACAGUCACCUUCGGCUUGCUCACUGGGUUUCUAAAUACAAUUAUUAUUAAUUACUUAUUUUUAUAUACACUCCAUAAUCAUAUUUAAUCAAACUACACAAUGAUGACUCUAAGACUUUAUAGAUAUUACAGUUUUCAUUUUCUGUUAAUGUAUGAUUUUCUGUAAACCUGCUUUGAAACGAUGUGUGUCGUGAAAGGCACUAUACAAAUACAAAUGACUUAAAUAUUC